Rhopilema esculentum is the source of this 480-nucleotide non-coding RNA. The record is from RefSeq and is a predicted model, not a curated record. NCBI's taxonomy places the organism in Eukaryota, Metazoa, Cnidaria, Scyphozoa, Rhizostomeae, Rhizostomatidae.
UCUGAACUCUGAACUGGAAAAGAUUGUGUUUUCAGACUCUGAACUGGAAAAGAUCCUCUUUUGUGCUUUUGUGCCAAGUCCAGGGAACCGGAAACACAGGGGACCUUAGAUAACAAAGAAGCACAAAGUGGAAGAGGAAACAGGAAGUGCAAAGAGAGAGAUGGCUGGUCUGAAGAAAAACAGUCUUCCUUUCACUGGAGAUCCUAGCAAUGUUGAUGGAUGGGUUAAGAGGGCAGGCUGUAGAAGUCACAUGAGAGCUACUGGAUUCAAGGUUGUUAGGUGUCUUUAUUCAGAUUAUAUUGCAUUCCGUAAAUGUAUUUCUGAAUGUUUUCCAGUCCAAAAUCUGUAAAUCAAAUGAUUGCUAUUCAAGUGAUAUAAGAUUAAAUUUCCAGAAUUGUUUGCAGCUGUGAGUUACAAGGAAUGCAAUUGUUUCUUUUUGCUUUUCCACAUCUGCUUAUGGCAGUGUGAUAAUUAUGUGUU